This 568-nucleotide long non-coding RNA is filed under the name Daucus carota (carrot). RNAcentral's name for it is "long non-coding RNA (DCAR_LNC002961)". The record is from RNAcentral. Lineage: Eukaryota; Viridiplantae; Streptophyta; Magnoliopsida; Apiales; Apiaceae.
CGAGAGAGAGAGAGAGAGAGAGAGCGAGCGCGAGAGAGAAGUGGAUCUCUUCUUAUCUGUUUACCUGGUUAAUCUUUCUUUCUCUUUUCAACUCUGAAUUCCUCCUAUAUAAUAUAUUUAAUAUCUUUGUAUGUGUAUGUGCAGCUGUUUCGAAGAAUGUAUGUUAGAUUCAUGAUGUUCCAGUAGUUUUUAGAUGUAAUCUAUUUAUGAAUUGCUGAUAUAUUGAAGGUAGUGUUGAAUUUGUGUGUUGAAUUGGAUUCGUGUCGUAUAUUUUGCCACGUUGACUUUCUAGGGUUUACACUUUUUCUCCUUUUCAAUUCUUAUUAUUAAUUGUUUAUAUAGUUGAUUAUAUUGUAGUCUAUCAGCUACCUGUACGUUAUAAUUGACUGAUGUGAUGAUAAAAAUGGAGCAAGUAUAUGAAUAGUUUACUGUUCUAGCCGGGAGCCUUGAACAUAGCUUAUACAGUAGCUUUAAGAUGUGUUGUGGAAAUACAGAUUAUUUUUCAUAGUAGAUCUUGUUGAUGAACAAAGUGUUGGGAGUCACAGUGAAAAUCACAGCAACAAUGNNN